GACGAACGCUGGCGGCGUGCUUAACACAUGCAAGUCGUACGGUAAGGCCCUUUCGGGGGUACACGAGUGGCGAACGGGUGAGUAACACGUGAGUAACCUGCCCACAACUUUGGGAUAACGCUAGGAAACUGGUGCUAAUACUGGAUAUGUGCUCCUGCUGCAUGGUGGGGGUUGGAAAGCUCCGGCGGUUGUGGAUGGACUCGCGGCCUAUCAGCUUGUUGGUGGGGUAGUGGCCUACCAAGGCGGCGACGGGUAGCCGGCCUGAGAGGGUGACCGGCCACAUUGGGACUGAGAUACGACCCAGACUCCUGCGGGAGGCAGCAGUGGGGAAUAUUGCACAAUGGGCGCAAGCCUGAUGCAGCAACGCCGCGUGCGGGAUGACGGCCUUCGGGUUGUAAACCGCUUUCAGCAGGGACGAAGCUUUUUGUGACGGUACCUGCAGAAGAAGCACCGGCUAACUACGUG
This 465-nucleotide ribosomal RNA is filed under the name uncultured bacterium. Its description in RNAcentral is "partial 16S ribosomal RNA". It matches the Rfam family "Bacterial small subunit ribosomal RNA", at positions 28 to 507 of the family's 1533-position model. The record is from RNAcentral.